AACCUUUACAAUGCACGAAAGUGUGAUAAGGGAAUCCCAAGUGCCUUGCUUUUAGUAAGGCUUUUGCCAUGUGUAAAUAACAUGGCGAAUAAGUGGUGGGCAAGACUUGUGCCAGCCGCCGCGGUAACACCAGCGCCACAAGUGGCAACCGCUUUUAUUGGGCCUAAAGCGUCCGUAGCCGGUCCGGUAAAUUUUCUGUGAAAUCGUUGGGCUUAACUUAACGUCGUGCAGAAAAGACUACCGGACUUGGGACCGGGAGGCGUCAGAGGUAUUCUUGAGGGAGCGGUAAAAUGCUAUAAUCUCAGGAGGACCCCCUGUGGCGAAAGCGUCUGACGAGAACGGAUCCGACGGUGAGGGUCGAAAGCUAGGGGAGCAAACCGG
RNAcentral lists this ribosomal RNA (381 nucleotides) under uncultured archaeon. Its description in RNAcentral is "bacterial SSU rRNA". It matches the Rfam family "Archaeal small subunit ribosomal RNA", at positions 345 to 727 of the family's 1478-position model. The record is from RNAcentral.